This is a ribosomal RNA of Schizosaccharomyces cryophilus OY26, 125 nucleotides long. The record is from Rfam. Lineage: Eukaryota; Fungi; Ascomycota; Schizosaccharomycetes; Schizosaccharomycetales; Schizosaccharomycetaceae.
GUCUACGCCCAUACCUAAGCGAAAACACCAGUUCCCGUCCGAUCAUAGCAGUUAAGUGAAAACGUCUGAGGGCCUCGUUCGUACUAUAGUUGGAGACAAUAUGGGAAACCGGGGUGCUGUAGGCU